This 688-nucleotide ribosomal RNA is filed under the name bacterium nerPYwin07-3. RNAcentral describes it as "bacterial SSU rRNA". The stretch from base 108 to 688 matches the Rfam family "Bacterial small subunit ribosomal RNA", at positions 874 to 1450 of the family's 1533-position model. The record is from RNAcentral.
UUUCCACCGCCCGUUAAAACGGAAUGUUCUACCCUUGGAGGGGUUGUUGGCCCCUUGAAGGCGUUGGCCUUUUCGUGAGCUAACCGCGGUUUAAGUAGACCCGCCCUUGGGGAGUACGGGUCGCAAGAUUAAAAACUCAAAAUGAAUUGGACGGGGGGCCGCACAAGCGGUGGAGCAUGUGGUUUUAUUUCGAUGCCACGCGAAGAACCCUACCUACUCUUGACAUCCAGAGAAGCCAGCGGAGACGCAGGUGUGCUUCGGGAACUCUGAGACAGGUGCUGCAUGGCUGUCGUCAGCUCGUGUUGUGAAAUGUUGGGUUAAGUCCCGCAACGAGCGCAACCCUUAUCCUUGUUUGCCAGCGAGUAAUGUCGGGAACUCCAGGGAGACUGCCGGUGAUAAACCGGAGGAAGGUGGGGACGACGUCAAGUCAUCAUGGCCCUUACGAGUAGGGCUACACACGUGCUACAAUGGCGCAUACAGAGGGCAGCAAGCUAGCGAUAGUGAGCGAAUCCCAAAAAGUGCGUCGUAGUCCGGAUUGGAGUCUGCAACUCGACUCCAUGAAGUCGGAAUCGCUAGUAAUCGUGAAUCAGAAUGUCACGGUGAAUACGUUCCCGGGCCUUGUACACACCGCCCGUCACACCAUGGGAGUGGGCUGCAAAAGAAGUGGGUAGUUUAACUUCUCGGGGAG